This 1372-nucleotide ribosomal RNA is filed under the name uncultured bacterium. Its description in RNAcentral is "bacterial SSU rRNA". It matches the Rfam family "Bacterial small subunit ribosomal RNA", at positions 28 to 1381 of the family's 1533-position model. The record is from RNAcentral.
GAUGAACGCUGGCGGCGUGCCUAAUACAUGCAAGUCGAGCGAACGGACGAGAAGCUUGCUUCUCUGAUGUUAGCGGCGGACGGGUGAGUAACACGUGGAUAACCUACCUAUAAGACUGGGAUAACUUCGGGAAACCGGAGCUAAUACCGGAUAAUAUUUUGAGCCGCAUGGUUCAAAAGUGAAAGACGGUCUUGCUGUCACUUAUAGAUGGAUCCGCGCUGCAUUAGCUAGUUGGUAAGGUAACGGCUUACCAAGGCAACGAUGCAUAGCCGACCUGAGAGGGUGAUCGGCCACACUGGAACUGAGACACGGUCCAGACUCCUACGGGAGGCAGCAGUAGGGAAUCUUCCGCAAUGGGCGAAAGCCUGACGGAGCAACGCCGCGUGAGUGAUGAAGGUCUUCGGAUCGUAAAACUCUGUUAUUAGGGAAGAACAUAUGUGUAAGUAACUGUGCACAUCUUGACGGUACCUAAUCAGAAAGCCACGGCUAACUACGUGCCAGCAGCCGCGGUAAUACGUAGGUGGCAAGCGUUAUCCGGAAUUAUUGGGCGUAAAGCGCGCGUAGGCGGUUUUUUAAGUCUGAUGUGAAAGCCCACGGCUCAACCGUGGAGGGUCAUUGGAAACUGGAAAACUUGAGUGCAGAAGAGGAAAGUGGAAUUCCAUGUGUAGCGGUGAAAUGCGCAGAGAUAUGGAGGAACACCAGUGGCGAAGGCGACUUUCUGGUCUGUAACUGACGCUGAUGUGCGAAAGCGUGGGGAUCAAACAGGAUUAGAUACCCUGGUAGUCCACGCCGUAAACGAUGAGUGCUAAGUGUUAGGGGGUUUCCGCCCCUUAGUGCUGCAGCUAACGCAUUAAGCACUCCGCCUGGGGAGUACGACCGCAAGGUUGAAACUCAAAGGAAUUGACGGGGACCCGCACAAGCGGUGGAGCAUGUGGUUUAAUUCGAAGCAACGCGAAGAACCUUACCAAAUCUUGACAUCCUUUGACAACUCUAGAGAUAGAGCUUUCCCCUUCGGGGGACAAAGUGACAGGUGGUGCAUGGUUGUCGUCAGCUCGUGUCGUGAGAUGUUGGGUUAAGUCCCGCAACGAGCGCAACCCUUAAGCUUAGUUGCCAUCAUUAAGUUGGGCACUCUAAGUUGACUGCCGGUGACAAACCGGAGGAAGGUGGGGAUGACGUCAAAUCAUCAUGCCCCUUAUGAUUUGGGCUACACACGUGCUACAAUGGACAAUACAAAGGGCAGCGAAACCGCGAGGUCAAGCAAAUCCCAUAAAGUUGUUCUCAGUUCGGAUUGUAGUCUGCAACUCGACUACAUGAAGCUGGAAUCGCUAGUAAUCGUAGAUCAGCAUGCUACGGUGAAUACGUUCCCGGGUCU